This 774-nucleotide ribosomal RNA is filed under the name uncultured Sporosarcina sp. RNAcentral's name for it is "bacterial SSU rRNA". It matches the Rfam family "Bacterial small subunit ribosomal RNA", at positions 669 to 1441 of the family's 1533-position model. The record is from RNAcentral. Lineage: Bacteria; Bacillati; Bacillota; Bacilli; Caryophanales; Caryophanaceae.
CCACGUGUAGCGGUGAAAUGCGUAGAGAUGUGGAGGAACACCAGUGGCGAAGGCGGCUUUCUGGUCUGUAACUGACGCUGAGGCGCGAAAGCAUGGGGAGCAAACAGGAUUAGAUACCCUGGUAGUCCAUGCCGUAAACGAUGAGUGCUAAGUGUUAGGGGGUUUCCGCCCCUUAGUGCUGGAGCAAACGCAUUAAGCACUCCGCCUGGGGAGUACGGCCGCAAGGCUGAAACUCAAAGGAAUUGACGGGGACCCGCACAAGCGGUGGAGCAUGUGGUUUAAUUCGAAGCUACGCGAAGAACCUUACCAGGUCUUGACAUCCUGCUGACCGGUAUAGAGAUAUACCUUUCCCUUCGGGGACAGCGGUGACAGGUGGUGCAUGGUUGUCGUCAGCUCGUGUCGUGAGAUGUUGGGUUAAGUCCCGUAACGAGCGCAACCCUUGACCUUAGUUGCCAGCAUUCAGUUGGGCACUCUAAGGUGACUGCCGGUGACAAACCGGAGGAAGGUGGGGAUGACGUCAAAUCAUCAUGCCCCUUAUGACCUGGGCUACACACGUGCUACAAUGGACGGUACAGAGGGUUGCCAACCCGCGAGGGGGAGCUAAUCCCAUAAAACCGUUCCCAGUUCGGAUUGCAGGCUGCAACUCGCCUGCAUGAAGCAGGAAUCGCUAGUAAUCGUGGAUCAGCAUGCCACGGUGAAUACGUUCCCGGGUCUUGUACACACCGCCCGUCACACCACGAGAGUUUGUAACACCCGAAGUCGGUGGGGUAACCC